Molecule: ribosomal RNA, 468 nt
Filed under: uncultured bacterium
Lineage: Bacteria
Description: partial 16S ribosomal RNA
Rfam family: Bacterial small subunit ribosomal RNA
Source: RNAcentral
GACGAACGCUGGCGGUGUGCUUAACACAUGCAAGUCGAACGGUAAGGCCCUUUCGGGGGUACACGAGUGGCGAACGGGUGAGUAACACGUGAGUAACCUGCCCUCAUCUCUGGGAUAACAGUCGGAAACGGUUGCUAAUACUGGAUAUGAGCUUGCAAGGCAUCUUGUGGGUUGGAAAGAUUUUUUUUGGUUGGGGAUGGACUCGCGGCCUAUCAGCUUGUUGGUGAGGUAGUGGCUCACCAAGGCUUCGACGGGUAGCCGGCCUGAGAGGGCGACCGGCCACAUUGGGACUGAGAUACGGCCCAAACUCCUACGGGAGGCAGCAGUGGGGAAUAUUGCACAAUGGACGGAAGUCUGAUGCAGCAACGCCGCGUGCGGGAUGACGGCCUUCGGGGUGUAAACCGCUUUCAAUUGUGACGAAGCUUUUUUGUGACGGUAGCAGUAGAAGAAGCACCGGCUAACUACGUG